UCUCAUUGAGUUCUUUACUUUCUUCUCACUGUUGCCUAGUCUCCUCUCUGACUUGACCGUCGGAGGGUCCCCGUCGGAGCCGCCUCCGGUCAGCGCGGACUUUCUUUUAUAGGCGCUCGUUCCCGACGAUCAGACGAUGAGGAGAUUGACCGCAACACAUAUUAUUUGGAAAUUUCAGUAUGUCAACACAGAAUACACCGCGCCAUUCUCAAUUGUUGCUAGUCCCCAGAUGUUUUUACCCUAUGCUCUCCACUUUUAACAAGCAUUCAUGUCAUCAUUUCCCAUCGUUAAGGUGUUCAUCUCAUGGUCGGUAUUGCAGUGGAGAAUGAACAGGAACUUUGCCGUGUUUUCUCGACAGAAGAUAAAUCAAACUUUUUGUCAUGCAAUCUCCAUUGUUGUUAUAUUAUUACCUGAAAGCUGUGAUUUAGCAUAUGCUCAAUCAGUGUUUUUUCCCUUUUUUUUCGGUGUACCCUGAUUGAUUCCUUCCACUGGGUUCCUUUUGAUUUAUUCCAAAUGUAUUCAGAUUUUAUAUGCUAUUCGUGGUUGAUACGAAAAUGAAAUAUUCUAGACUUGCAAAUAUUUUCAUGAGAAUCUUUGAAGAUCUGAGAUAUUGAAUAUUUAGUAUUAUUAAUUUUCAGUUUAUCCAGAUUUCACCCAUAAAAGCAAGAAAUUUGUAGAAGAAAGCCGAAGAGUUGGAGCCCUACUAGCCCGUUCUUGGGACCC
This 723-nucleotide long non-coding RNA is filed under the name Elaeis guineensis (African oil palm). Its description in RNAcentral is "long non-coding RNA (EGUI_LNC080877)". The record is from RNAcentral. Lineage: Eukaryota; Viridiplantae; Streptophyta; Magnoliopsida; Arecales; Arecaceae.